GUUUGGCUUAUUCCAAACUAAACCUAAGUGAAUUAAGAUUUUGAGUUUUUGCAGUGUGUAGCUGUGGCGUUAGCAUUGCGCUAACAGCAUUAGCAGAAGUGUGCCCACAACUUAGCUGAUGUAAAACCUGAGUCUAAAGUUUUUACCCCCUGCCGCCUAAAACAAACAGAACCGUUUCAUCCUGCCACCUUCCCAGAUCUGGUUGCUUAUUUUUAGUCUUCUGAUUCUGAAUAUUUUUGGUAAAUUUAAAGGCUUUUUUGAUCCAGCUUGGGCAGGAUUUGUUAGGAACUGAACGAUUCUUUUCUGUUUAAACUAUCCAAACAUUUCUGAUUGUUUUUACUGGACCGGCGCUGCUGGGGGAGCUACACGGUGUUAUGAGUUCAUAUCGACUCGCUUCAUCUCUGAACUAAUAAACCCGAAGCUCUGAGGUCAACAAGAACAAAUCCAAGUCUUAACCUGCUGAACCGCGAGGGCCAAGAGGUCGGAUAAUGACACGCUUAUGCUAGGCUACAUUAGCGUUACUUAGGCUGAGCUCAGAGACGCAGCAUAACGUAAACAUACAGAUUCUGACUCAGUUUUUUAGCUGUUUUUAGUGUUUUUUAGAGCAGGGAUGUUCAAACUUACCACAAUAAAAUAAUAAUAAAA
Molecule: long non-coding RNA, 645 nt
Organism: Poecilia latipinna (sailfin molly)
Lineage: Eukaryota; Metazoa; Chordata; Actinopteri; Cyprinodontiformes; Poeciliidae
Exons: 3
Source: RefSeq, a predicted model, not a curated record